GGACAAGUGACUAAGUGCACAUGGUGGAUGCCUUGGCGAUAUCAGGCGAUGAAGGACGUAGUAGCUUGCGAAAAGCUGCGGGGAGCUGGCAAACAAGCUUUGAUCCGCAGAUGUCCGAAUGGGGAAACCCGGCCAGCAAUGGUCACUCAGAAAUGAGAGCAAACCUGGAGAACUGAAACAUCUAAGUACCCAGAGGAAAAGAAAUCAACCGAGAUUCCGAAAGUAGUGGCGAGCGAAAUGGGAAGAGCCUGCAAGAUUUAGCACCUUUGAUAAUAAAACGGAUUGGAAACUCCGGCCAUAGAGGGUGAUAGCCCCGUAUAUGAAAUCAUCGGUGUGGAACUAAGUUUGCGACA
RNAcentral lists this non-coding RNA (353 nucleotides) under Stylonychia lemnae. RNAcentral describes it as "Bacterial large subunit ribosomal RNA". It matches the Rfam family "Bacterial large subunit ribosomal RNA", at positions 1 to 421 of the family's 2925-position model. The record is from Rfam by way of RNAcentral. Lineage: Eukaryota; Ciliophora; Spirotrichea; Sporadotrichida; Oxytrichidae.